Non-coding RNA from Lupinus angustifolius (narrow-leaved blue lupine), 83 nucleotides. The record is from Rfam. NCBI's taxonomy places the organism in Eukaryota, Viridiplantae, Streptophyta, Magnoliopsida, Fabales, Fabaceae.
AAUCAGGUGAUGAGAAAAAAAUAACUGCAACAAUCUGAUUGGAUUUAUUCCAAUGAUUCACUGUAUUUAAGUCUCUGAUGAUU